CGUAGUCACAUGAACAGCACUGAUGUCACGACAGGUAUGACUUUAAAUCAGCCGUAGUCACAUGAACAGCACUGAUGUCACGACAGGUAUGACUUUAUAUCAGCCGUAGUCAACUGAACAGCACUGAUGUCACGACAGGUAUGACUUUAUAUCAGCCGUAGUCAACUGAACGGCACUGGUGUCACGACAGGUAUGACUUUAUAUCAGCCGUAGUCACAUGAACAGCACUGAUGUCACGACAGGUAUGACUUUAUAUCAGCCGUAGUCAACUGAACGGCACUGGUGUCACGACAGGUAUGACUUUAUAUUAGCCGUAGUCACAUGAACAGCACUGAUGUCACGACAGGUAUGACUUUAUAUCAGCCGUAGUCACAUGAACAGCACUGAUGUCACGACAGGUAUGACUUUAUAUCAGCCGUAGUCACAUGAACAGCACUGAUGUCACGACAGGUAUGACUUUAUAUCAGCCGUAGUCACAUGAACAGCACUGAUGUCACGACAGGUAUGACUUUAUAUCAGCAGUAGUCACAUGAACAGCACUGGUGUCACGACAGGUAUGACUUUAUAUCAGCCGUAGUCACAUGAACAGCACUGGUGUCACGACAGGUAUGACUUUAUAUCAGCAGUAGUCACAUGAACAGCACUGGUGUCACGACAGGUAUGACUUUAAAUCAGCCGUAGUCACAUGAACAGCACUGGUGUCACGACAGGUAUGACUUUAUAUUAGCCGUAGUCACAUGAACAGCACUGAUGUCACGACAGGUAUGACUUUAUAUCAGCAGUAGUCACAUGAACAGCACUGGUGUCACGACAGGUAUGACUUUAAAUCAGCCGUAGUCACAUGAACAGCACUGAUGUCACGACAGAUAUUACUUUAAAUCAGCCGGGGUCAAAUGAACAGCACUGAUGUCACGACAGGUAUGACUUUAAAUCAGCCGGGGUCAAAUGAACAGCACUGGUGUCACGACAGGUAUGACUUUAAAUCAGCCGGGGUCAAAUGAACAGCACUGGUGUCACGACAGGUAUGACUUUAAAUCAGCCGGGGUCAAAUGAACAGCACUGGUGUCACGACAGGUAUGACUUUAAAUCAGCCGGGGUCAAAUGAACAGCA
Long non-coding RNA from Oncorhynchus keta (chum salmon), 1111 nucleotides. RefSeq lists it as uncharacterized. Lineage: Eukaryota; Metazoa; Chordata; Actinopteri; Salmoniformes; Salmonidae. The transcript has 5 exons. The record is from RefSeq and is a predicted model, not a curated record.